UGAGGAAUAUUGGUCGAUGGGCGAGAGCCUGAACCAGCCAAGUAGCGUGCAGGAUGACGGCCCUAUGGGUUGUAAACUGCUUUUAUAUGGGAAUAAAGUGAGGGACGUGUCCCUUAUUGCAUGUACCAUAUGAAUAAGGACCGGCUAAUUCCGUGCCAGCAGCCGCGGUAAUACGGAAGGUCCAGGCGUUAUCCGGAUUUAUUGGGUUUAAAGGGAGCGUAGGCUGUUUGUUAAGCGUGUUGUGAAAUGUAAGAGCUCAACUUUUAGAUUGCAGCGCGAACUGGCAGACUUGAGUGCGCACAACGUAGGCGGAAUUCAUGGUGUAGCGGUGAAAUGCUUAGAUAUCAUGACGAACUCCGAUUGCGAAGGCAGCUUACGGGAGCGCAACUGACGCUAAAGCUCGAAGGUGCGGGUAUCGAACAGG
Molecule: ribosomal RNA, 424 nt
Filed under: Verrucomicrobiota bacterium
Lineage: Bacteria; Pseudomonadati; Verrucomicrobiota
Description: Verrucomicrobia bacterium partial 16S ribosomal RNA
Rfam family: Bacterial small subunit ribosomal RNA
Source: RNAcentral